UACGAAGGGGACUAGCGUUGUUCGGAAUCACUGGGCGUAAAGCGCACGUAGGCGGAUAUGUCAAUCAGGGGUGAAAUCCCGGGGCUCAACCUCGGAACUGCCUUUGAUACAGCAUGUCUUGAGUCCGAUAGAGGUGGGUGGAAUUCCUAGUGUAGAGGUGAAAUUCGUAGAUAUUAGGAAGAACACCGGUGGCGAAGGCGGCCCACUGGAUCGGUACUGACGCUGAGGUGCGAAAGCGUGGGGAGCAAACAGG
RNAcentral lists this ribosomal RNA (253 nucleotides) under uncultured bacterium. RNAcentral describes it as "partial 16S ribosomal RNA". It matches the Rfam family "Bacterial small subunit ribosomal RNA", at positions 524 to 776 of the family's 1533-position model. The record is from RNAcentral.